This 12546-nucleotide long non-coding RNA is filed under the name Cicer arietinum (chickpea). RNAcentral describes it as "long non-coding RNA (CARI_LNC000444)". The record is from RNAcentral. Lineage: Eukaryota; Viridiplantae; Streptophyta; Magnoliopsida; Fabales; Fabaceae.
UUUUCCGUGCAGCUCAUCACCUCCUUUUCUUCUUCUUACUUGAUGUUUCAAGAACAAAGUGUGGGUGGUUUUGAAAAAAUUACAAAUACAAACUCUCAUUUUUCUUCUAGAUCUAAGCUCCCUUCCGAGAAGUUACAGAAGGGAAAGUUGUUCAUUGCCACACUACGAUGCUAGUGAGCUAGUUUUCGAAGUGACGACGUGAGCGAAAAUUUUACCGUAGUUAAUCGCGGUGCCGUAAUCGGUUGUUAAAGCUACAACAGAGGUAAGGGCUCCUUCCAAACUUUUAGUUUGCAUUUAGGACAUUAUUUGUGAUAUUGUGGAAUAGAAAUUUGAUGUAUUUGAGGUGUAAAAUUGUGGAAAAUGAAUUUAAUUCGUUUAUGUGUGAAUUAGUUGAAUUUGAAUUUGGGUUGUUUUGAGGUGUGUUUUGUAGUGAUUAAUAUUGAAUGUGAAUUGUAUGUUCAUAAUUAUUAUUAUGAACUUUUGAGAUGUGAUUUAUUUGCGGAUUUUGUGCAAAAUGAAUUGAUGAAAUUUGGUGGUUUAUGUGUAAAAAUGUGGAGUUUUGAAAUUGGGAGAGUUAUGUUUGAAUUGUUGAAAUUUAAUUGAGGUGCUAUAUGUGUGGUGACUAAAUUUGAAGUGUUUGAGUUACUUAACGAGUUAUUUUCAAAUAAAUAAGUUUGAACUGAAGUUGAAAUUUUACAAAAAAAAUUUAGAGUUGUUAAAGUUGUGAAAAAGUUUCAAAUUUUAACUAAGUUAAAGAGUUUGAGCAAAAAGAUAAAUUGAAAUUAAAAAUAGUUAGAGUUUAAAUGUUACUCUUUUAAUUACUUCUGAACUGAGUUUUAAAAAGGAAAAAAGUUUAGAUUAUUUUAUUAACUCAAAAAUUUUGGUGCUUUAAUAGUCGAGUGUGUGUGUAUGAUAUUUGGACAAUAUUUGUUUUAUUUAGUUUUAACUAAAUAAUAUAGAUUAUUUGGUUUUAAAAGUUUGGUGUGUGAGAAAGAUUUAGUUUUGGGAAUUUUGUUGUGUUUGGAUUAGUUUUAUUGUGAACAAAUUGUUAUAAAUAUUCAUGUUUAUGUAGUUAGUUCCUCGAGUCUCGAAAAGGAAUCGAGACCGUUGGUACCAAGUUAGCGGUGAGAAGAACUCUGAUAUAUUAAUGUUGUUGUGGUGAUUUAUGGUUGAAAAUAUUGGAGAUUGAAUAUGGGUGAUUAAUAUUUGAAAAUUGUGGUGACUCACGUUGGUGAAACUGAUGUGUUCAUAAUUACUGUUAUGAAUUUUUGAGAAAAAUUUAUGUGUGGAUUAGUGGAAAGGAAUUUGAUUCAAUUUAUGUGUGGAUUGAAUUUGGAGAUGUGGUUUAUGUGUGUUUGUGAAAAUAGAAAUUGGUGUGAAUAAAUAUGUUUGAGUAUGCUAUGUGUUGUAUCUGAAAAGUCAUUAGUGUUAAAUGAGUAUUAAAAAUGAGGAAUCUUUUAAUAGCUACAUUUACUUAUUGAUUGUGGUGAAAAGAGUCAGAGUAUGCUCAUGCAUUUCAUAGUAUAUGGUGACUGCGAUGGGGCCAUGGUGAUAGUGGUGACCGUGAUGGGCCACGGGAUGAUGCAUUGUGAAUUGUUGGUUCAUCUUAUCCUUGCGAGGAUUGUCGCGUUAUGUUGAUCUGUGAGAGAUUGCACUCUAGAAUGUGUUGAUCUGUGAGCGAUUGCACUCUCGAAAAUCGUGCUGAUCUAUGAGCGAUUGCACGCUAGUAAAUCAUGCUGAUCUGUGAGAGAUUGCACAUUGGUAAUUAGUGCUGGUCUGUGAGAGGCUGCACUCUAGAAUGUGUUGAUCUGUGAGCGAUUGCACUCUAGAAAAUCGUGCUGAUCUGUGAGCGAUUGCACACUAGUAAAUCGUGCUGAUAUGUGAGAGAUUGCACCUAAGUAAUUAGUACUGGUCUGUGAGAGGAUGUACAAUUAUGAUGAGUCAUGUUUGCUAUACUAUGAUGAUUGUAUAUACAUAUUCGGUUGUUGUUGUGAUUUGCCGUAAUUGCUUUGAGGUGUGAAUUUGGGUUGAUUAAGUUUCGAUGUACUUAUGUGUUCGUAAUUUAUGUUGUGAAUAUUUGAUGUGUGAUUGAGGUGUGAAUUUGUGGAGAUUAAUUUGGUGUUAAUUAUGUGUUUAUAAUUGAUAAUAUUAAUGUUUGAAGUGUUAAUUGAUUCAAAGCCAUUUUAGAACUGAAAAUCUGCAUUUUCUCAGUUGUUUUCGGCUACGAUAGUGCAAUAUAUUUUGUUAAGUAAUUGAUAUAUUUUUUCUCUUCUCCAUCUAAAUGUCCAACAAAUGCACGUGCCUUCAAAAUAUAAGGUAGUUCAUGAUUGUGAACUCCACAAAUUAUUUUAGCAAUUCAUCAUAAACCAUAUUUUAAUGGUUUUGAUCUUAGCUUGAAAAGGAAACCACACUUUUCUUACUAAACUUCGAGCUGAAUUACCAAAACAUUUGUAUUUAUCUCCUUUAUCACAACCUAAUAUUAAUUUAUUCCUUAUUUCUCUAUCUCUGAUCUCUUUAUCUGAUCUAGCGAUGAUAAUAAUCACUUUGUUUUUAAUAUCAAUCUCGCUCGUCAAAUUCACAAUAACUUCUCGUGUGUCAAAUAUAUCUUAAACAAAAUAUAAAAUAAAUCAAAAUAAUAAAUUUUAAAAUAUUAAUUAUAAUUAUUCAUACCUGGAUAUGUGGUGAAAACAUUGAUAGUAUGUACACAUAUUUUAUUAUAUAAUAGUAACGAUUUAUCCAUAUAUGUUAAAAAUGAUAUAAAUAAUAAACAAAUUAAAUAAUUUAAACAUUAUUUUUUAAAUAAAAAAUUGGUGCGCUCAUAAGUUUUCCGAUACAGAAGAGUUUACAAAAAAAUUGUGAAAUAUAUUUCGAUACAAAGGAGUUUUUGGGAAAACUUGUAAAAUAAUUUACGUUAUGACCUAUCUACCGCAAAAUUUAUAUAAAUUUUUCAGUAAGCUUUUAUACCGAGUAACACAAAUUAAGUUUUCAAGAAACUUUGGAAAAAGCUUUGCGUAUCGAAAAACUUAGAGCAGAAAAUUUUUGAAUGGUGAAAAAGUGAAAAGUAAAUUUGAGUUUUGUAAUAUUGUAAAAGUGAAAAAUAGUAACGUCUACAUUUAAAAAAAAUAAAGAAAUAGUAGUAUAAUUGUGGAAGUAUAGACUAAAAUUUUCUUGUUACUAUUACAAAAUUUCUUUUUUAUUUUUAUUUUUUAUUUUGAAGAAAUUAUUACAAAAUUUAUACUAAAAUGUAUAAAACAUAACUCAGUUAAAUAACUAAUCCUUUUUGCUCGACAUCGUUUACCAGGUGAUAGGUCAAAUUAAACUGUAUCAUAGCUAGAGCUCUCAAUAAAGGUUAAAACUCCAAAACUUAAAAAAUUUCUUACUAAAUUUAUAAUAUUAUAUUAGGCGCUUCAUUAAAAUAUUUUUUUUUAAAUCUCGACUCAUUAUAUUAUUAUUUUUUCUGCACUUAAGAGAUGAUGCUUGUAAGUCUAAUAUUUUGUUAAUUAUGAUUUUUUUUCUUAAAAAUUUUUUUAAAUUUAUUUUUCUCAGAAAAUUAUCAAAAAAAAUUCAAAAAUAUUUUUUUUAGAAAAAUUUUAAAUCAUUUUUUUUAAUUAAAAAAUUUCAAAAAAAAAUUUAAAUUUUUUUAGCGAAAAAAGAUCUAAACUUUUUUUUCGGAAAAUUUUAAGCAAGUUAAAUGCGUGUCUGAUUCAAUUUUUAAGAAGAGAGAAUAAAAAACUAAAAUAACUUAUAAACUAUUUUAGAUAAUGGAAUGAUAAGAAGAUUAGAAGUUCGAUAUUCACCAUCAAUAAAAUACUAAUAUUAAUUAUUAGAAGCAAAAUAUAUCUUUCUUUUUCUUCCUUCCCCUUCCCUUUAUUAAAACCCUUUCUCUCUCUCAUCCGUUGAAUAAAAUAGAUAAAAAUAACACCACAACCAAUUGAACUUGGCUUUCUUGCCAUAGGUAAAUGACACAAUUACAUAUAGUAGACGAUCUCAACCAUCAUUGGUGGAGCUUGAUGAAAACCUUUUAGGGGUGCUAGAUUCUAUAAUUUUAAUUGAUAAAUUUGCAAUUUAAGCACACACAAAAUUACCAACACAAUGAUAGAGGGAGGGGAAAUCAAAUUGAAAAACUGCAAAAAUUUAAAAGUGAUAGGUACAACAUAUCAGUUUGAUUCGUAUUUUAGAAAAAUCAAGUUGAAUAAAAUCAAAAAAUUCGAACCAAAUUGAUAAAGAACGUGUCAGUUUAGUUUAGUUUAAUCGGAUUGAUAUUUUUAUAGCUCAUAUUUUUUUUAAACUAUUAAAAUAAUUAUAUACUUUUUUAUGUCACAAGUAUAUAAACUACAAAGAGAAAAUUACUGCAUUGAAAAAAAAAAACAAAGAGAAAAUUAUAAUAUAAAUAAUUAAAAAAAUACAACAUAUUUUUUGGAUAACACUUCUUAGUGUGACCUAAAAUAUAAUGGUUUCUUUUAGUUAUUGAUGAUCGAUUUUAAAUUAAGUUAAACCAUACUCAAAUUAAUAGAGAUUAAGAUUAUUUGAUUUGGAUCAAAUACAAAAAAAAAUUAAAUUAAAUUUAGUUAAUUUCAACUAAAUUUAUGUGUUUAUCGAGGCAUAGAUUUAAUUUUUAUAAGUUUAGAAGAAACUCACACAAUUUAAAUUUAGGUUAAAAAACAUAAUAUAAAGACAGAUUGACAGUAUAAACUAAUUUUAUACAGUUAAUCUGCCACAUUGUAUUAUAUAAUUUUUUAAUUAAUAUCAACUACUUAACUAUUUUAUAUCCUAAUGAGUUAUAAUUAGAUGACAUUAAUUACGAAACAACUUUACACUGUCAAUAUAUUAGAUUUUUUUUUAUCAUUUUUCUUAUAUGUUAUUUUUUAGACAAAAAAAGUUGUUAAAAGUUUGGGGUGGUCAUGAUUAUCUAUAUGUCAAUAUCAACUAUUAAUUUGAUAUCAGAAAAUAUAAAAUCACACGUAUUUAAUAUAUAUCAGUUUUAACUAACCAUUCAAAUAGUAACAUAUCAUAUUAUUAUACCUAGUGGCCACUCUUGGCCCUUCUCAAGUAUAGUUUUCACAAUCAUAUUCAUUCCUUCAAAACAUACAGUCAAUUGAAGGUUUUGUUCUUUCUUUCUGAAGGUCAAGUGAAGUUUCUAGUUCCAUAUAAUUUCUAGUUCAAUAUAACAACAUAAUUAGUUUAGAAAUUACAAGUAACAGUUAUUAUUAUAAGGAUGGGAUUGUAAAUUGAAAUUGGUAAAUUUCAUUACUAAAUUAAAUAUAAUUUAAAAAUAUUUAAAUAUUAUAAUCUUUUUGACACAAAAUAAAAUUAAUAAUAAAAAUGACAAUUUAAUAUAAGUCAUUUUUUUUAAAAAAAUGUUGGGUCUGUGAGAAAUGAAAAUAUAAAAUAUGUGGGAUCGACAAGAGCUGACUGGAACACAUUAAAAUCACAUGGGCAGGCACUAUAGGACAUUGGCAUGGCUUAAAAAUUUAUCCAUAUUUAGUACCCAAAAGAAUCCAAUGUCUUCCACACAUACCAAAUAUGAGUAUGACAUUGUCUUGGGAUACUUCCAACUGUUUUCCACUUCAAACAACAGAUUAAUUGUUAUUUCUUAUUUGUUAUCUUGCAUAAAAUAUGAGGUUUCAUUUUUUUUAAUAUUAUAUACAUAUACUACCUCUCCUCCGUCCUUUUUAUAAAUUCUUAUUACGUUUUCACUCUUAUUAAAAAAUUAGUUGUAUAGUUAAUGUAUUUAUUUUAUAUAAUAUUUUUAAAAUAAUUUUUGUAUUUGAGUAUAUUAAACUUGACUUUUUAUAUUUAAAGAUAAGUUAGAAGAAUUAAUAACAGGUAUGUUUAAAAAAAAUUAAUAAAUGUAUUUAAUAAAUUAAAAAUAAAAGUACUUAUAUGGAAAGAUAAUUCUCAAAUAGUACUUAAGUGUAAUAUAGCACUACCUUUGUCCCAAAUUAUAAUUUAGGACAAAGGUAGUGCUAUAUUACUCCCUUUAGUCUUAUAUAUAAAAAAUUGUAAUUUUUUUUCUAAAUAUAACAAAAACUUACAAAUAUCAAGAUGUAUUUAUUGCCUAAAUAUCUUUUAUACCUUUGUACUAGAUAUAUAAUUACUUUAUCAAUAGAUGUGAAGGUAUUUAAUUUUUUUAUAAACAAAUAUUUAUUAAUGUGAGAACAAAGAGUGCUCAAAGCCCAUUACAAAUCAACCAUCAUAUAGAAAUUGUUUUUCCCCUUCCUACAAAUAAAUCAUGAACUAGACAGACGGAUAAUUUUGUAAUGUCAAAGUUAUUUUUAAAGAAAAUUAAAAGCUAAUUGACUAAAUUAAUUUUCUUGAUCUUAAUAUUUUCCAUUUUUUUAGAAAAAAUAUUAAAAUGCUUUAGAGGUACAUGUUAAAAAAAUUAAAUAUAAAAUUUGUAUCUUAAAACUUGUAUAUACAAUUUUUUAAAAAUUUAAAAGUUAAUAUUUUCAACACAAAAUCUUUAUAUUUAAAUUCUUUAAUAUAUAUUCUUAAGACAUUUAUAUUUUUUUUUAAAUCAAUCAAUAUUAAUAAUUAAUUUUAUUAGAAUAAUAAAUAAAGCCAAUGACUUGUUUUUUUAUCACUUUAAUUCAUCCAAUCCACUUUAACAAAAUAUAUAUUUAUAUUUUAAAAAAAAUAAUAAAUUAUAUAAUAAUUAAUUAAUAUAAUUAUGUAAUUUUUAAUUAAAACUCAAAAUAAAACAUUUAUCCUAACAAUAUUUAUCAGUUAAUAUAGAAUUUUAAGACAAAACCAUUUGUUUUUAUAAAAAUGGGAGAGUAUGUAUUAUGCUAUAUAUGAUAUGGAUACCGUACAACUUAACUAUUACAUAGUGGCAGCACAUGUAUUAACUAACUCAUAGCAUCAACCUCGAAGUUAGAUAAAUUUAAAUUUGCAGUUAUAGAUAUGGAUAAUUUUGUCAACAUAUAUAGCCUUUCCUUCAGAACCUAGCUAUACUAUUACUAUAUUGUUGCCGUAACCAACUAAAAUGCUAGUACUUAAAAUUAUGUCUGUGUAGCAGUUGGCAGAAUCCACAUGUUAUAAUAAUAUUUUUAUAGUAAGUGACAUAGAUUAAAAUACAUAACUAUAAUAUAUAUACAUAUUUUUUAUAAACUAUAAUAAUUUAUCAGAAAAUCAAUAUUGAUUUUUUAUUUUUUAUAAUUUCAUGUAUCAAAUUCUUUUAAUAAUGUUAUGAUUUUAAUCAUUUAAAAAAAAAAGCAUAUGUCUAUAUGUUACCACAAUUUCAGCUGUUAAUCAAUAUACAUUUUAUCCUUCAGAGUACCUCCAACACUCUAAACCUAAACAUAAUCAAUGGGAUUUGGUUCUUCUAUAUUUAAUUAAAAAUUAUAAUAUUAGUUCAAAGAGUCACAUGUACUCCACACUCUUUAUGGGCAAUAUAAUCCCAAAACAUGCUAGGAAUGCAACCCUAACCACCCUAAUAUAUAUGAUACUUGUCCAACGAGUAAUCACCAAGCACGUGGCCACUAAAGGAUUCCACCAUUUUUUAUUUGUUUUAUAGACACCAUUUAAUUUGUUAAUUAUUUCUACUUGUAAAAACAUUGCUUAGUAUAUAGUUGGCUUCUGAAAUUGUCACCAAAAUGCCAAAAUUUUCCGCAAAUAACCAAUUUUUUAAAGUUAAGUUCACAUGAUCCCAUAAGUAUAACAGCACAAUAUUAAAUAUAUAAUUAGAUAUUUUGAAGGAUAUGCAGAUUGUAUCACAUGUAUUGUUUAUAUUCCACACACACAAGAAACACAUAUACAUUGUUUAACUAACAAAUUAAUGGAUUCUUUUAUGCUUAAACAUAGGGUAAUUUAUUUACAAUGAAGCAAUGAGAUUAGGGAAUCUUACACAAUACUCAGGUUUCCAUCUCCCAAAUUACAAAAGGUGCGUUGUGCCUUUCGGAAUAAAUAACUUUUAUAAUUAUACAGUUUCCUAUAAUAAUAUGUUCUGGUAAUUUAAAAUUCAAUCGAAAAUAAAUAAAGUUUGAUUAAAUAUUUUUCUUGUCAAAAAUAUAAUUUUAAAUUUUAUUAUAUAACCUUUUUUAAUUAAAAUUUAUUAACCAUUUAAAUUUAUUUACUUGAUUUCAAAUUUAAAUAUUUUCUGCAAGCAAAAGUACUAUUUUAGUUAAAAAUAAUAUUGAAAAAAUAUAAUUUCUAUUGCUAAUUUUAUUUUUAUUUUUUAAGUAGGAACUGUACCUUUAUUGUAGUCAUUAUCAUUGCAUAUUGUCAACCGAUAUUUCACAGUUAACAAGUAUUGUACUUUUUUAUUUUACUCAAAGUAUAUUGUACUUGAACCUAACAUAUUAUAGCAAGUUAAGCAAUGAUUGCUAAAACGUGUCUUUUCUACAAAAAUAAAUGAAUAGAGUAAAAAUAUAAUCAUCUCUACUUUUGUAACUAAAGUUUGAAACAAUAUAGUUAGUGAUAGAUGUUUUCCAUUUUAAAUUUGAUAAAUUAAUUAAUACUUUUUUGGGUACAAUAAUUAAUAAUACGUACAUUUUAGUAGUGGUACAUAUUUUUAUAAAAAAUAAUACAUUAUAUUGAGGCCAGUUACGAAAAGCUCUUCAAACUCACAAAUUUUCUAUGUUUUCAGUCCACUGUGCCAAAAAGACUUUUAAUUGGGUUUUUUAAGUAUUAGAUAGUACUUUUAGAGAACUUUAUAUUCUUGCACUACUAUAGACUAUGAUAGUGAUUUUAGAUGCAAAAAUGAUUUUACAAACUUAUAAAAUUGAAUUAGACUCAAUUCAAAUUGUAAAGAAUGUUGGCUCAAUAUUCCUAAGUAUAUUUGUAUGGACGAAAUCCAGCAAGUAAUGGAACACCUCAUUGGUACUAGAAAAUAAAUAAGGACUCAUAGUAGGUGGAGUAGAGCUUAUCAAUUUGACAAUGAGUGAAUAAAAAAAUGAUUCAUGAAGCGUGUUUGAAGGAGAAGAAAGUAAUAGAAGACAGUGACAUGAUUCAUUUCUUAUAGCCCUUUCUAUUUGAUGAUGUGAUUGUGCUCCAUACUAUCCAAACAUGAAACAACACUCUCAAGAUAAGAAAACAAAAUACAUGUGUAAAUAUGCUUUUAGUUUUCUAUUAAAUUUUAUUUUUAGUCUUUAUAAUUUUUUUAAUAGUUUUCUACGAAUUAAAACUGCGAUUAAAAGUUAAAAAAAUUAUAAAGAAUUAAUAAAAGUAAAAUUUUGAAUUUUUAUUAAAUACAUUCAUUUGAACUUAACUCUAUACUAUUUAUAUUAUAGAAUAUUAAUUGUCAUGCAUUCUGUUUAAAAAAUUUACACUAUCGAUUAACUACGAUCAAUUAUAUGUAUGUCUUUAGAAACAGAUAUAAUUAAACUUAAACGUUUUUAUUAAUCAAAUAAUUUUAUUAUGAUUGAUUGAAUGUGUAAAUUUUUUUUACAAAAAUUAAGUUGAUUAUAUUACUACGCAUGGCAUGAUAUAUAGGGAAAGUGAACAAUUUAAUGUUGACCAAAUAUGUCAGCAUUGCCAUAUAAUCUAUAUAAGGGAAAAGAAAAUGUACAAGGAAAUAAGUGAACAUAAGUGGAGGUGAAAAUGAACUUAGGUGAAUGCUAGAGACUAGAGAGUGGAUGACAGUGAUCUCACAUGAAGGUUUCCCUAAAAAUGGUGCAUAGUGUAAUGAGUACUCUGCUGAUCACACCAAAAAUACAGGGUACUGCAAAAUUUGGCUUCAUAUGAAAGAAAAUAUCUUUAUUUACCAUUUAGCACACUAUGUACCAUGUAAGAAUUUUGAAAUUAUAUACAUUCUUUUUUUUAAGUGAAUAUUCAAGUAAAGAGAUAUUUUAUUUCUUAAAGUAUAUACACCUGAAUUUGAAAAUAAAUUAUAACCAUAUACUUAAAGGAUUUGAUUGGAUAUCACCGAGGUUUAAUUUAAGUAAUUGGUGCACAUGUAUAUGAGUGUCGUAAAUUUCAAUUCUAAAUCAUAAAAAAUUGCUCCCACAAAAAAAUAAUAAUAAAAAUUGAUUUGAAUAAUCGUGUUUAUAGUUACAAGUGGCUUGUAAAAUUAUAUAGUACAUAUUAUUUUUAGGUACAAAUUAUAUGUAUAUAUAGUACAUAUUUACUAUGAGUCCUUUAUAAUAGUAAGUACCUGAAAAAAUAAUAAUUUCAUACGGUACACUUCUUUUCUACUUUUGUCAUGAUCAACAAAAUCGACAACGUCUCAUUCACGAGAAUGACUAUUUCCCACUUUUUUGUUUUCUUCCACUCUUCCAUAUGUUUGUCUUCUUCUUAUCUUGAAAUGUGUGUUUGAUUCUCUUUCUUUUUUUAUAUAUACUUUGUUAAGUUCCUAUGGAUUUUGUUCAUUGUUGGUACUGAUUGAUGAAAUCACCAUAAAUCAUUAGAGGGUCUUUCUUCAAAGCAUUAGCAAACAUUUUUACUCUAUAAUUUGUACAAAUGUAUCAUUCUCAAGCAACCUUAAAAUAAUUUGUUUAAGAAAUAUGUAACGAGAGAAUCUACCCUUAUUUUAAUAGAUCACAUAUAAAGAAAGUGUAGAUUUGGUUUGUGUGUUAGCUCGAAGUCGGUCACGUUUGAACCAUUUGAUCAAAAAUUAAAUAGUUUAAAUUUCAAAUUCAAUUAUUUUAGAGUAACAAAAAUUAAAAUUUACAUAAAAAUGAAUUGACUGUAUAGAGUAUAAUAGUAUUGAAUAGUCCAUGAUGAAAUUUUGUAUUCAAAAAAACAUAAUUUUUCAAUACAAAAUUUAAGUUAUAAAAUAGUUAAAUACACAAAUUCACUACACAUUAAAUAAUAAAUUUCUAUAUCUGAAUCACUAUAACUUAGGACACUUAUCAGCAUUUGUGAUUAUAUAAUUCAAAACAAGAUAACUUUACUCAAAGUUGCAUGAAAACAUUAUAUAUUAACAAACUUAGGAAAUUUAAAAAAGGAAAAAUAAAAGUGACUAGCCCUUUAUUCAUUCAUAUAAAAUUCUUCAAGCCCCACCAAAAUUUCAAGUUGAAAUAUCCUAUUUUAUACAUUAAUUAAAAGUUUUCAUAACAAGGCUUUUUAAUUUAAUAAUAACAACUCAUAAAAUAUAUGGUGACAGAUUGACACCCUUUUGAUUAAUUUCACAUAGAAAAAGAAAAAAGAAAAAAAAAACUACAUUCAAAUUUUAAAUUAAAACUCUCUCACUUUAAUUGAAUCAAUUAAUUAAAAUGUUGCUGCUCCAACCAUGGCCAAAAUCCAGUUUGAUCAUCCAUGCCACAAAACAUGUUACUUAAACUUUCUUCUUUGACAACCAUUUGAUCAAUCUUUUGGCAUUGAAUUUCUGGCCUUGAUGAAGAAGUUGUUUGAAAAAGUUGAGCAAUUCCUGCUNNNNNNNNNNNNNNNNNNNNNNNNNNNNNNNNNNNNNNNNNNNNNNNNNNNNNNNNNNNNNNNNNNNNNNNNNNNNNNNNNNNNNNNNNNNNNNNNNNNNNNNNNNNNNNNNNNNNNNNNNNNNNNNNNNNNNNNNNNNNNNNNNNNNNNNNNNNNNNNNNNNNNNNNNNNNNNNNNNNNNNNNNNNNNNNNNNNNNNNNNNNNNNNNNNNNNNNNNNNNNNNNNNNNNNNNUGCUGGCCUAGCAGAGGGUGGAAAGAAAGUAUGAUGUGUUGAUAAUGGACUAUCACUUGCUUGUGUUCUUGAGAUAUCUAAUUUGAUAUCUGAACUGUUUUCACUUCUAUUGCUGCUUGAUCCUUCUGUUUCUUUUAUAUUAAGGUUUAUUGAUUCAAUUGGUUCUCUAUUUUUCAAUGCCAAUAGCUGCAAUAAAUUCAAAUUAUAUAAGGUUACAAUUAUUAUUUAUUAUAACAAAAAAUAAAAAUUGUUAACACUAUAAUUUCAUAAAUUAAAUUUAGUAUAGAUGAAAAUUGACGAUAAAUUUGACAGAAUCACGACGAACUUGUGUUAAAUCUUUAGAAAAUAUAGAAUAUGGUAAGAUGAAACAUUUAUGUACAACAGAAGUAAACAAUUUAAGAGAAACAUGUCCUUGGAGUGAAGAAAAACAAAAUCAUUGGAUCUUGAUUAAGUCACUUUAUUUGAUAGGAAAAAGCAGCUUUUUAGAAAGUUGAUGUUUCAGAAUAGGUGAAAGGAAAGGUUCUGAAAACUAUGCAGAUAGUCAAAAAAGCAUAACAAAAAAAGAAGGAUCAUCAAUUCAUCAUUACCAUAUGUUAUUCAAAAGAAUAUAAACAAUAAACUUAAACAAGUCUUUAUAUAUAGUUCUCCAUCAUUUAUUUAAUUUUCAAUUUUGUUGAAAAAAAAAACAAAAAAUGAAUGAAAAUUGUAUUAUUAUAAGCAUGGUUUUAAAUUAAUGUCACCGAUCACAAUUGAAGUUACAAUAUAACAGUUUUACAAGUGUCUGCAACAAUAUUGCAGAUAUAAUUAUGACUUCAUAUUCAUUAUAAAUAUUUGCGACAUAAUCACAACUACAACUGCAGUUUAAAAUCAAAAUCACGAUUAUGAGAUAGAAAAAAACUAACACACCUCUGCUUGAAGUUUUUGGUUUUGAGUUUGAAGUGCAUCAUUAUCUAAUUUGACAGCAUCAUAUUGUCUUUUAAGGACAUCAUAGUCUUUUUCCA